UGCAGGAUCAACCAGGUAGCAUUCCUUAUAGACAUCGGGUCACAAGAUGUUAGACAUGCAUGCAACGCCAAAUGUCAUCCGAAUGGGGCGUGUAAUGCCGAUUUAGGGGCAAAUAGAGGUCGAAGACCCCAUACCCACAACGUGUUCUGCAUCCCGAAGGACUAGUAAAAUUCAAAUGCCGUAAUGACAACACGAUAUGUUUGCAAAACGGAACACGAAUCUCACUUUCAAGUUCUCCCGAAGCCGCAUCGUGUUAACAGGCAGCAUAGGGAAAACGGCUAAAAAAUUGGCUAAAAAAUUCCAUCAAUGUGGGUAUAUAACAUAGGAAACCGACAGCACGGACAAGGUUAAGAGUAGCUCUUGUGCCGACAAUUGAAAAGGAACGCACGGUAGGACGUCAUUGCCUAAGCAAGGAUCCCA
Molecule: unclassified non-coding RNA, 420 nt
Filed under: Palicourea alpina
Lineage: Eukaryota; Viridiplantae; Streptophyta; Magnoliopsida; Gentianales; Rubiaceae
Description: partial external transcribed spacer
Source: RNAcentral